AACGAACGCUGGCGGCAUGCCUAACACAUGCAAGUCGAACGAAGUCUUCGGACUUAGUGGCGCACGGGUGCGUAACGCGUGGGAAUCUGCCCUUGGGUACGGAAUAACUCAGAGAAAUUUGUGCUAAUACCGUAUAAUGUCUUCGGACCAAAGAUUUAUCGCCCAAGGAUGAGCCCGCGUAAGAUUAGCUAGUUGGUGGGGUAAAAGCCUACCAAGGCGACGAUCUUUAGCUGGUCUGAGAGGAUGAUCAGCCACACUGGGACUGAGACACGGCCCAGACUCCUACGGGAGGCAGCAGUGGGGAAUAUUGGACAAUGGGCGAAAGCCUGAUCCAGCAAUGCCGCGUGAGUGAUGAAGGCCCUAGGGUUGUAAAGCUCUUUUACCAGGGAUGAUAAUGACAGUACCUGGAGAAUAAGCUCCGGCUAACUCCGA
RNAcentral lists this ribosomal RNA (432 nucleotides) under uncultured bacterium. RNAcentral describes it as "partial 16S ribosomal RNA". It matches the Rfam family "Bacterial small subunit ribosomal RNA", at positions 29 to 506 of the family's 1533-position model. The record is from RNAcentral.